This 2909-nucleotide ribosomal RNA is filed under the name Salmonella enterica subsp. indica. RNAcentral describes it as "bacterial LSU rRNA". It matches the Rfam family "Bacterial large subunit ribosomal RNA". Lineage: Bacteria; Pseudomonadati; Pseudomonadota; Gammaproteobacteria; Enterobacterales; Enterobacteriaceae. The record is from RNAcentral.
UUAAGCGACCAAGCGUACACGGUGGAUGCCCUGGCAGUCAGAGGCGAUGAAGGGCGUGCUAAUCUGCGAUAAGCGCCGGUAAGGUGAUAUGAACCGUUAUAACCGGCGAUACCCGAAUGGGGAAACCCAGUGUGUUUCGACACACUAUCAUUAACUGAAUCCAUAGGUUAAUGAGGCGAACCGGGGGAACUGAAACAUCUAAGUACCCCGAGGAAAAGAAAUCAACCGAGAUUCCCCCCAGUAGCGGCGAGCGAACGGGGAGGAGCCCAGAGCCUGAAUCAGCAUGUGUGUUAGUGGAAGCGUCUGGAAAGGCGCGCGAUACAGGGUGACAGCCCCGUACACAAAAGCGCACGUACUGUGAGCUCGAUGAGUAGGGCGGGACACGUGGUAUCCUGUCUGAAUAUGGGGGGGACCAUCCUCCAAGGCUAAAUACUCCUGACUGACCGAUAGUGAACCAGUACCGUGAGGGAAAGGCGAAAAGAACCCCGGCGAGGGGAGUGAAACAGAACCUGAAACCGUGUACGUACAAGCAGUGGGAGCACAGGUUUACCUGUGUGACUGCGUACCUUUUGUAUAAUGGGUCAGCGACUUAUAUUCUGUAGCAAGGUUAACCGCAUAGGGGAGCCGGAGGGAAACCGAGUCUUAAUUGGGCGUUAAGUUGCAGGGUAUAGACCCGAAACCCGGUGAUCUAGCCAUGGGCAGGUUGAAGGUUGGGUAACACUAACUGGAGGACCGAACCGACUAAUGUUGAAAAAUUAGCGGAUGACCUGUGGCUGGGGGUGAAAGGCCAAUCAAACCGGGAGAUAGCUGGUUCUCCCCGAAAGCUAUUUAGGUAGCGCCUCGUGAAUUCAUCUCCGGGGGUAGAGCACUGUUUCGGCUAGGGGGCCAUCCCGGCUUACCAACCCGAUGCAAACUGCGAAUACCGGAGAAUGUUAUCACGGGAGACACACGGCGGGUGCUAACGUCCGUCGUGAAGAGGGAAACAACCCAGACCGCCAGCUAAGGUCCCAAAGUCAUGGUUAAGUGGGAAACGAUGUGGGGAAGGCCCAGACAGCCAGGAUGUUGGCUUAGAAGCAGCCAUCAUUUAAAGAAAGCGUAAUAGCUCACUGGUCGAGUCGGCCUGCGCGGAAGAUGUAACGGGGCUAAACCAUGCACCGAAGCUGCGGCAGCGACACUUAAGUGUUGUUGGGUAGGGGAGCGUUCUGUAAGCCUGUGAAGGUGGCCUGUGAGGGUUGCUGGAGGUAUCAGAAGUGCGAAUGCUGACAUAAGUAACGAUAAAGCGGGUGAAAAGCCCGCUCGCCGGAAGACCAAGGGUUCCUGUCCAACGUUAAUCGGGGCAGGGUGAGUCGACCCCUAAGGCGAGGCCGAAAGGCGUAGUCGAUGGGAAACGGGUUAAUAUUCCCGUACUUGGUGUUACUGCGAAGGGGGGACGGAGAAGGCUAUGUUGGCCGGGCGACGGUUGUCCCGGUUUAAGCGUGUAGGCUGGUUUUCCAGGCAAAUCCGGAAAAUCAAGGCUGAGGCGUGACGACGAGGCACCACGGUGCUGAAGCAACAAAUGCCCUGCUUCCAGGAAAAGCCUCUAAGCAUCAGGUAACACGAAAUCGUACCCCAAACCGACACAGGUGGUCAGGUAGAGAAUACCAAGGCGCUUGAGAGAACUCGGGUGAAGGAACUAGGCAAAAUGGUGCCGUAACUUCGGGAGAAGGCACGCUGACACGUAGGUGAAGUGAUUUACUCAUGGAGCUGAAGUCAGUCGAAGAUACCAGCUGGCUGCAACUGUUUAUUAAAAACACAGCACUGUGCAAACACGAAAGUGGACGUAUACGGUGUGACGCCUGCCCGGUGCCGGAAGGUUAAUUGAUGGGGUUAUCCUCGCGGAGAAGCUCCUGAUCGAAGCCCCGGUAAACGGCGGCCGUAACUAUAACGGUCCUAAGGUAGCGAAAUUCCUUGUCGGGUAAGUUCCGACCUGCACGAAUGGCGUAAUGAUGGCCAGGCUGUCUCCACCCGAGACUCAGUGAAAUUGAACUCGCUGUGAAGAUGCAGUGUACCCGCGGCAAGACGGAAAGACCCCGUGAACCUUUACUAUAGCUUGACACUGAACAUUGAGCCUUGAUGUGUAGGAUAGGUGGGAGGCUUUGAAGCGUGGACGCCAGUCUGCGUGGAGCCAACCUUGAAAUACCACCCUUUAAUGUUUGAUGUUCUAACGUGGACCCGUUACCCGGGUUGCGGACAGUGUCUGGUGGGUAGUUUGACUGGGGCGGUCUCCUCCCAAAGAGUAACGGAGGAGCACGAAGGUUGGCUAAUCCUGGUCGGACAUCAGGAGGUUAGUGCAAUGGCAUAAGCCAGCUUGACUGCGAGCGUGACGGCGCGAGCAGGUGCGAAAGCAGGUCAUAGUGAUCCGGUGGUUCUGAAUGGAAGGGCCAUCGCUCAACGGAUAAAAGGUACUCCGGGGAUAACAGGCUGAUACCGCCCAAGAGUUCAUAUCGACGGCGGUGUUUGGCACCUCGAUGUCGGCUCAUCACAUCCUGGGGCUGAAGUAGGUCCCAAGGGUAUGGCUGUUCGCCAUUUAAAGUGGUACGCGAGCUGGGUUUAGAACGUCGUGAGACAGUUCGGUCCCUAUCUGCCGUGGGCGCUGGAGAACUGAGGGGGGCUGCUCCUAGUACGAGAGGACCGGAGUGGACGCAUCACUGGUGUUCGGGUUGUCAUGCCAAUGGCACUGCCCGGUAGCUAAAUGCGGAAGAGAUAAGUGCUGAAAGCAUCUAAGCACGAAACUUGCCCCGAGAUGAGUUCUCCCUGAGACCUUGAGUCUCCUGAAGGAACGUUGAAGACGACGACGUUGAUAGGCCGGGUGUGUAAGCGCAGCGAUGCGUUGAGCUAACCGGUACUAAUGAACCGUGAGGCUUAACCUU